CAUCUGUUUGAAGAUGAGUCCGCGCACCAUUAGUUUGUUGGUGGGGUAACGGCCUACCAAGACUGCGAUGGUUAGCUGGUCUGAGAGGAUGAUCAGCCACACUGGAACUGACACACGGUCCAGACUCCUACGGGAGGCAGCAGUGAGGAAUUUUGCGCAAUGGGGGAAACCCUGACGCAGCAACGCCGCGUGAGUGAAGAAGGCCCUUGGGUCGUAAAGCUCUGUCAAUGGGGAAGAAGUUACUUCAUAUUAAUAGUAUGUUGUAUUGACGGUACCCAUGAAGGAAGCACCGGCUAACUCCGUGCCAGCAGCCGCGGUAAUACGGGGGGUGCAAGCGUUAUUCGGAAUUAUUGGGCGUAAAGGGCACGCAGGCGGUCCUGUCAGUCAGAUGUGAAAGCCCGGGGCUCAACCCCGGACGUGCAUUUGAAACAGCAGGACUUGAGUACGGGAGAGGAAAGGGGAAUUCCUGGUGUAGAGGUGAAAUUCGUAGAUAUCAGGAGGAACACCGGUGGCGAAGGCGCCUUUCUGGACCGAUACUGACGCUGAGGUGCGAAGGCGUGGGUAGCGAACGGGAUUAGAUACCCCGGUAGUCCACGCAGUAAACGUUGUAUGCUAGGUGUAGCGGGUAUUGACCCCUGCUGCGCCGCAGUUAACACAUUAAGCAUACCGCCUGGGGAGUACGGUCGCAAGACUAAAACUCAAAGAAAUUGACGGGGGCCCGCACAAGCGGUGGAGCAUGUGGUUUAAUUCGACGCAACGCGAAGAACCUUACCCAGACUUGACAUCUUGAGAAUCCUUUAGAAAUUUAGGAGUGCCUUCGGGAGCUCAAAGACAGGUGCUGCAUGGCUGUCGUCAGCUCGUGUCGUGAGAUGUUUGGUUAAGUCCAGCAACGAGCGCAACCCUUGUCUUCAGUUGCCAGCACAUAAUGGUGGGAACUCUGAAGAGACUGCCCCGGUUAACGGGGAGGAAGGUGGGGAUGACGUCAAGUCCUCAUGGCCCUUAUGUCUGGGGCUACACACGUGCUACAAUGGUAUGUACAACGGGCAGCCAGCCAGCGAUGGUGAGCAAAUCCCUUAAAGCAUAUCCCAGUCCGGAUUGGAGUCUGCAACUCGACUCAUGAAGUUGGAAUCGCUAGUAAUCGUGGGUCAGCAUGCCACGGUGAAUACGUUCCCGGGCCUUGUACACACCGCCCGUCACACCAUGAGAGUUGAUUGUACCCGACGUCACUGGGCCAACCCUUUG
RNAcentral lists this ribosomal RNA (1242 nucleotides) under metagenome. RNAcentral describes it as "bacterial SSU rRNA". It matches the Rfam family "Bacterial small subunit ribosomal RNA", at positions 212 to 1445 of the family's 1533-position model. The record is from RNAcentral.